This 353-nucleotide long non-coding RNA is filed under the name Olea europaea subsp. europaea. The record is from RNAcentral. Lineage: Eukaryota; Viridiplantae; Streptophyta; Magnoliopsida; Lamiales; Oleaceae.
GCAGAUGAUCAUGUCUCGUGAAUAGCCAAAACAUGGAGGAAUAUUUAGAAAGGUAUUUUCAGAUGCUCCAAUGAGGAAAUACUUAUGAUGCUAGAACUCGUGUGCUAUAGAGUAUGUUAUCCCAUUUUUAAAUUGGUCUACUUUGCAGCAGCUAAUGCUAGUCACAAUAUGGGUUCCAAUGAAUGCAAUUUAGUCAUUAGUAAGGCUAAAGUGAACUAGGGUACUACCGUGAAGAUAUUCAAACCUCGAGCUCGAGGAUGUAGUUAUCCGAUAAAAAGACCUACAUGUCGUACAACUAUUGGAGUGAAAGACCUAUUUAGGAACAAGAAAAUAUCAUUGUGAUUUGAAUUGAA